AGGAGCCUCCAUCAGCAGGAGCGCUGGGCUGCAGCAAGGGAUGGGAUUGGGAGUGGAACCGACAAGGCUGGGAGAGCUGUUGGCAUUUCUCCUGACAAAAUCCUGCACAAACGGAGCCGGCCCAGGUGAAACCACGGCGUUGGAGCCAGCUGGUGUUCAGUGCUGAGCCCCGUUCCUUCCCCCUGAGCUCUGCCCUCAGUUUCCUCAGCUGUAAAGUGAAGAAGAUGCUGCCAAGCCCUGCUUGAAAAGCGCUGUCAGACGCAGCAAAUGUCACCCAGUGGCUCAGGUGGUGCUUGGUCAGCUGGCACACAGCACAUCAAGGGCACAGGACACACUGCAUCAGUUGCCCACUGAGGGACCAGCAAGGCUAAGGCCAGCCUGGACUGACCAGUGAUGAGUGGAGAGGAGCAACAAUUUCACCCUGCAAGCCAGAGCCAAGGAGGGAAUUGGCCUCUGCCAUCCUCAAAGCCCAAUUAACCAAAUCACCACAGCUCAGGAGGCUUCGGCAGGAGCACGAGGAGAACUCCAAGGAGGAAUUGCAAUGAGGAGCCGAGGCUGGCUGUGCUGGACCCUUCACCAUGUGAACAUGCCCAGGCUCCAAUGCCUCAGCACAGCCCCAUGUCGGAGCAGCCCUGGACCUGCAGAACGGCACAUGGCAGAGUGGCAGUGAGCCCCUAG
This is a long non-coding RNA of Camarhynchus parvulus, 678 nucleotides long. NCBI's taxonomy places the organism in Eukaryota, Metazoa, Chordata, Aves, Passeriformes, Thraupidae. The record is from Ensembl.